Molecule: non-coding RNA, 93 nt
Organism: Annulohypoxylon truncatum
Lineage: Eukaryota; Fungi; Ascomycota; Sordariomycetes; Xylariales; Hypoxylaceae
Source: the annotation of a RefSeq genome assembly
UCCGAAUUGGUGUAGUGGCUAACAUUUGACGCUCUCAAGGUUCGAAAGAUCCAAAGGUCCGUCAAGCCCGGGGUUCGAUUCCCCGAUUCGGAG